GAUGAACGCUAGCGAUAGGCUUAACACAUGCCAGUCGAGGGGCAGCAUGGUCUUAGCUUGCUAAGGCUGAUGGCGACCGGCGCACGGGCGCGUAACGCGUAUGCAGCUUGCCUCACAGAGGGGGAUAACCCGUCGAAAGACGGACUAAUACCGCGUACACUCCAUCUUGGGCAUCCAAGGUAGAGGAAAUGAAAUUCGCUGUGAGAUAGGCAUGCGUCCCAUUAGCUAGUUGGUGAGGUAACGGCUCACCAAGGCGACGAUGGGUAGGGGAACUGAGAGGUUGAACCCCCACACUGGUACUGAGACACGGACCAGACGCCUACGGGAGGCAGCAGUGAGGAAUAUUGGUCAAUGGGCGAGAGCCUGAACCAGCCAAGUCGCGUGAAGGAUGACUGUCUUAUGGAUUGUAAACUUCUUUUAGACGGGAAUAACAAGAGUCACGUGUGACUCCCUGCAUGUACCGUAUGAAUAAGCAUCGGCUAACUCCGUG
This 490-nucleotide ribosomal RNA is filed under the name uncultured bacterium. RNAcentral's name for it is "partial 16S ribosomal RNA". It matches the Rfam family "Bacterial small subunit ribosomal RNA", at positions 28 to 507 of the family's 1533-position model. The record is from RNAcentral.